RNAcentral lists this ribosomal RNA (509 nucleotides) under uncultured bacterium. Its description in RNAcentral is "bacterial SSU rRNA". It matches the Rfam family "Bacterial small subunit ribosomal RNA", at positions 36 to 518 of the family's 1533-position model. The record is from RNAcentral.
CUGGCGGCGUGCCUAAUACAUGCAAGUCGAACGGUCUUUCUAUGGAAGCUUGCUUCCACUGAGAAGAUAGUGGCGAACGGGUGAGUAACACGUGGGUAACCUGCCCAUAAGAGGGGGAUAACAUCCGGAAACGGGUGCUAAUACCGCAUAGUUUUCUUGAUUGCAUGAUUGAGAAAGGAAAGACGGCCUUUGUGCUGUCGCUUAUGGAUGGACCCGCGGCGUAUUAGUUAGUUGGUGAGGUAACGGCUCACCAAGACGAUGAUACGUAGCCGACCUGAGAGGGUGAUCGGCCACAUUGGGACUGAGACACGGCCCAAACUCCUACGGGAGGCAGCAGUAGGGAAUCUUCCGCAAUGGACGAAAGUCUGACGGAGCAACGCCGCGUGAGUGAAAGAAGGUUUUCGGAUCGUAAAACUCUGUUGUCAGAGAAGAACAAGUUGGAGAGUAACUGCUCCAGCCUUGACGGUAUCUGACCAGAAAGCCACGGCUAACUACGUGCCAGCCGCGGC